This 489-nucleotide ribosomal RNA is filed under the name uncultured bacterium. RNAcentral's name for it is "partial 16S ribosomal RNA". It matches the Rfam family "Bacterial small subunit ribosomal RNA", at positions 29 to 507 of the family's 1533-position model. The record is from RNAcentral.
AGUGAACGCUGGCGGUAGGCCUAACACAUGCCAGUCGAACGGCAGCACAGUAAGAGCUUGCUCUUACGGGUGGCGAGUGGCGGACGGGUGAGGAAUACAUCGGAAUCUACUUUUUCGUGGGGAUACGUAGGGAAACUUACGCUACUACCGCAUACGACCUACGGGUGAAAGCAGGGGAUCUUCGGACCUUGCGCGAUUGAAUGAGCCGAUGUCGGAUUAGCUAGUUGGCGGGGUAAAGGCCCACCAAGGCGACGAUCCGUAGCUGGUCUGAGAGGAUGAUCAGCCACACUGGAACUGAGACACGGUCCAGACACCUACGGGAGGCAGCAGUGGGGAAUAUUGGACAAUGGGCGCAAGCCUGAUCCAGCCAUACCGCGUGGGUGAAGAAGGCCUUCGGGUUGUAAGCCCUUUUGUUGGGAAAGAAAAGCAGCAGGUUAAUACCCCGCUGUUCUGACGGUACCCAAAGAAUAAGCACCGGCUAACUUCGUG